Molecule: ribosomal RNA, 254 nt
Filed under: uncultured bacterium
Lineage: Bacteria
Description: partial 16S ribosomal RNA
Rfam family: Bacterial small subunit ribosomal RNA
Source: RNAcentral
UACGUAGGGUGCGAGCGUUGUCCGGAAUUAUUGGGCGUAAAGAGCUCGUAGGCGGUGUGUCGCGUCGGCCGUGAAAACCUGCAGCUUAACUGUGGGCUUGCGGUCGAUACGGGCAUCACUGGAGUUCGGCAGGGGAGACUGGAAUUCCUGGUGUAGCGGUGAAAUGCGCAGAUAUCAGGAGGAACACCAAUUGCGAAGGCAGCUCGUUACACGAAUAUUGACACUCAGGCACGAAAGCGUGGGGAUCAAACAGG